Molecule: ribosomal RNA, 501 nt
Filed under: Clostridioides difficile
Lineage: Bacteria; Bacillati; Bacillota; Clostridia; Peptostreptococcales; Peptostreptococcaceae
Description: bacterial LSU rRNA
Rfam family: Bacterial large subunit ribosomal RNA
Source: RNAcentral
UCAGGUGGCCGCAGAGAAUAGGCCCAAGCGACUGUUUACCAAAAACAUAGGUUUCUGCUAAGUCGCAAGACGAUGUAUAGGAGCUGACGCCUGCCCGGUGCUGGAAGGUUAAGGGGAUCUGUUAGAGUAAUCGAAGCAGUGAACUUAAGCCCCAGUAAACGGCGGCCGUAACUAUAACGGUCCUAAGGUAGCGAAAUUCCUUGUCGGGUAAGUUCCGACCCGCACGAAAGGCGUAACGAUUUGGGCACUGUCUCAACAACAGACUCGGUGAAAUUGUAAUUCCGGUGAAGAUGCCGGAUACCUGCGACAGGACGGAAAGACCCCAUGGAGCUUUACUGUAGCUUGACAUUGGGUCUUGGUACUACAUGUACAGGAUAGGUGGGAGGCUUUGAAACCAGGACGCCAGUUUUGGCGGAGCCAUCCUUGGGAUACCACCCUUGUAGUACUGGGACUCUAACCAUAGGCCAUGAAUCUGGUCUUGGGACACUGUCAGGUGGGCAG